This 394-nucleotide ribosomal RNA is filed under the name uncultured bacterium. Its description in RNAcentral is "partial 16S ribosomal RNA". It matches the Rfam family "Bacterial small subunit ribosomal RNA", at positions 338 to 729 of the family's 1533-position model. The record is from RNAcentral.
CCUACGGGAGGCAGCAGUGAGGAAUAUUGGUCAAUGGACGCAAGUCUGAACCAGCCAUGCCGCGUGCAGGAAGACGGCUCUAUGAGUUGUAAACUGCUUUUAUACGAGGGUAAACGCAGGUACGCGUAUCUGUCUGAAAGUAUCGUACGAAUAAGGAUCGGCUAACUCCGUGCCAGCAGCCGCGGUAAUACGGAGGAUUCAAGUGUUAUCCGGAUUUAUUGGGUUUAAAGGGUGCGUAGGCGGGCGGUUAAGUUCGAGGUGAAAUCCCGAGGCUCAACCUUGGAAUUGACGUUGAAACUGGGGGGCGAGAGUGUGGUUGGGGCAGGCGGAAUGUGUGGUGUAGCGGUGAAAUGCAUAGAGAUCACGCAGAACCCCGAUGGCGAAGGCAGCCUAC